UACGUAGGGUGCAAGCGUUAAUCGGAAUACUGGGCGUAAAGCGUGCGCAGGCGGUUAUAUAAGACAGUUGUGAAAUCCCCGGGCUCAACCUGGGAACUGCAUCUGUGACUGUAUAGCUAGAGUACGGUAGAGGGGAUGGAAUUCCGCGUGUAGCAGUGAAAUGCGUAGAUAUGCGGAGGAACACCGAUGGCGAAGGCAAUCCCCUGGACCUGUACUGACGCUCAUGCACGAAAGCGUGGGGAGCAAACAGG
Molecule: ribosomal RNA, 251 nt
Filed under: uncultured bacterium
Lineage: Bacteria
Description: partial 16S ribosomal RNA
Rfam family: Bacterial small subunit ribosomal RNA
Source: RNAcentral